AUCUAUUUUCAGAGUACGCACCUCACGCGCACAUCAAAGGUGGACUUCUGAUCCCACAACGUCCUCUCUGAUGAGGUCUGACCCAACCAUCAUCCCCUCCAGUACAUCCGAUGAGUGCCGCGCUACAAUGGGAAUAAAGGAUUCGAUGAUCACGUUUCUCCCACACAUGGCUAGAGUUACAUUGAUUGAUACCACUUGAUUGGUUCGAAUAUUCAGCAUUUGGGCCACAAUUCUUCUGAGUUUUGAUCAACGUAGUAGCUUGUUGGUAAGUCCUCAUCAUUUUGGGAUGACUUAUACCUUCUUUCCAGUCAUUUACUUUUAGUUUCAGACUAUUGGAGUUAGUUAGGGCUUGUCCUAACAACUCAUUUAGUGGAGGC
Molecule: long non-coding RNA, 377 nt
Organism: Solanum dulcamara
Lineage: Eukaryota; Viridiplantae; Streptophyta; Magnoliopsida; Solanales; Solanaceae
Exons: 3
Source: RefSeq, a predicted model, not a curated record